This 253-nucleotide ribosomal RNA is filed under the name uncultured bacterium. RNAcentral's name for it is "partial 16S ribosomal RNA". It matches the Rfam family "Bacterial small subunit ribosomal RNA", at positions 524 to 776 of the family's 1533-position model. The record is from RNAcentral.
UACGUAGGGGGCAAGCGUUGUCCGGAAUCACUGGGCGUAAAGCGCGCGCAGGCGGUCUUUCACGUCCGGGGUGAAAGCCCAGAGCUCAACUCUGGGAUUGCCUUGGAUACGGGGAGACUUGAGGGUCGGAGAGGCAAGGGGAAUUCCACGUGUAGCGGUGAAAUGCGUAGAGAUGUGGAGGAACACCUGUGGCGAAGGCGCCUUGCUGGCCGACUUCUGACGCUGAGGCGCGAAAGCUAGGGGAGCAAACAGG